AGGACACACACUCAGACUCUCUUUGUUGUUGUUAACACAAAAACACUUUAUUACAGGACAUUUAUCAGACGUCCAUCACUCCUCAAAUAAGUCACAACAGAGGUUUGACACACACACACACACACACACACACACACACACACACACACACACACACACACACACACACACACACACACACACACACACACACACACACACACACACACACACACACACACACACACACACACACACACACACACACACAUACUGACUGACUGACUUCACUGGGGUCCUCACGGAGCAAUUGAGGAGACAGCAACUGUCGUGAGAGAGAGGGCUGCUAGUUGGGCUGGAUUCUUGAGGGUUGGGUGGGGGGCUAGCCAGGGAACCAGGGGAGGUAUUGGUGGUAGCGGUGUUGGUUCUGGGGAGCUAUUUUUAGCCCCCUGGACCCUAGUAUCGUGACAGCUGUCCCCGCCUUGUCUCUCUAAGAAUAGUCAGCCUAUCAGGGGGCUCCUCUCCCCAGCCUGUGCCCUGUGUGAUGUGACGUGAGUCUGCCGGCUGUCUCAGCUCUGUCACACUCUCAACUAACUCUGUGUUGAACCCCGUUACCAGCAACGUUUUAAGGGCUUAUUUUAGUCAAGGAAGGAUUGGAUCUACCAAAUCUAACUCUACACUACUCACCUACACAGAGGACAGCAGACUUGAUCAGUUCACUUCCUGCGACACGUGGUCCUUUCACUAUCCCACUGGUAACGGCCCCUAGAGUGAAAAAACAGUGAUUUUGGCCUCAAUUGUGAAGAUCCAUCCAUCCAUCUGUCCAGCACUUCUCUCCAUUCCUGCCCUCCCCCCUCUUCCCCCCUCAUCCGGUACAGCUCAUGACAUCAGUGCAGCCAACAUGGCCUUCUCAUCACGCUUUUCCUUCUGGGAGCAAAAGGGAAGUCCUGUUCAGUUUUCCUCACUGCACAGUGUGGGGACAUGGGGUGGGUUACGUUGGUGCCGCACUGCACAGUGUGGGGACAUGGGGUGGGUUACGUUGGUGUCUGUAGAAAUGUGUGCCCUGCAUGUAUCACACCUUCACUAAGAGUCAUUUUGGGGCUUGAGAGUCACGUCGUUGAAAGCUUGUGGUCUGACAGCCGUGCUUCUGUCAUAGUUUUCUGACAGUGUGCUAAAAGUAACCGUUGUCAUCGGAUGCAUGAUCCAAUAUCAGUGUUUGACUCACCGUGGAAAAACCUUGACUGGAGUAAUUUGCUUUGACAAAAUAACGAGGUCCGUGAUAUUGCUGCAAAUACUUUAUUCUGGGGGAGCUCUGACUGCCAAGCUGGCUUUAGAUUUAGUUUUGUUUGACUGCCAUUUUGUUUGACCAUCACAACACAUCCUGUAGCUCCACAGUAAACGGAUGCCUCCCCGAAACGUUACCCAAAAUAAAAGAUCAUAGUGGUAAAUACAUCAAAAUAAACCCAAAGCUUUUUUAAGCAGGCGUUGUAGUUCUCAGGUGUCACUAUUACAUCAAAAUGGGCCAUAUUAAUGCUCCUUUGUGGCUACAGAUUAGUGUCUGUGAAUAAUAUUAGUCUUAACGUUCAAAUAGACACCAUGUGGUGUGUGGUAUGGUAAGUGAUAGCGCUUCCAGAUAGCAGACAUCCAGGUUUGCAGCAUGGUCUAUGUUUUGCAUGUUGUGCAGUGAGGGAGUGUUUCCUGCAAGUACCCCUGGCGAGUGACCACUUCUAAGUGUCCUAGGUUUUGACCUCAGUCCCUUGUCUUACCGAUCUCUUUAGGUCAAAGAAGAGGUCAGACCACCAGGCUCCAAGACCUCAAACCAGGGUUCAGACAGCGACAGUGGCAGUAUGAGUAUCCGCUCCCAGUCCGUGCCCAGUCUGGAGCCUGGCAGGGGCCUACUCCGCACCAAAAGCC
Molecule: long non-coding RNA, 1893 nt
Organism: Salvelinus fontinalis (brook trout)
Lineage: Eukaryota; Metazoa; Chordata; Actinopteri; Salmoniformes; Salmonidae
Exons: 3
Source: RefSeq, a predicted model, not a curated record